Molecule: transfer RNA, 63 nt
Filed under: Arboridia sp. 1 NZ-2023a
Lineage: Eukaryota; Metazoa; Arthropoda; Insecta; Hemiptera; Cicadellidae
Description: tRNA-Arg
Source: RNAcentral
AACAUAGAAGUAAAAAAAAAUUACAUUUAAUUUCGACUUAAAAAUAGGAUUAUUCCCAUGUUU